UGAUGAACUUCAUUCUUAUUGAUGUAGAACAAGCAAUGAGAAAGAAAAACGAAUGUGGCAAAAGAACAAAUUGUCUGACUCUAUAAUUUUGUUGUCAAUUCAAUGAACAACAACCUGAUGCCAAGGAGUCUAUAAGAAAGUUUGUGUCGGCAAAAAAAAACUAUGAAAUAGAAAACCCUAACCCUUGCAAGAAGUAAAUUACCCAAAUAUCCUAUAUAGAUAAAUUAAGUUUUUUCUAGAAUAACUAGUUCUAAAAUCUUUGAUUGGCAGUCAUGCAUAUACAACAUUCAUGUCAUAUCUAUGUUUUAGCACACCAAAUUUGUUCUGACUGUUGUAGAAACUGCAGUUAUGAGAGUUAAGGGGCUUAUCUACUUUUGAAUCGAGUAUUUGACGCUUCCAUUCAAUGAUUUAGUCUCAUGUUACCAUUUGAAAUCUAAGAAUGAGUAAUGCUUUGUCCGUUUGAUUGCUCAAAGAAGGAAAGUAACUUUGUUAUUUUAGCUCCCUGGCUAUCAAACUGAUCAUAAGUAUCAAUCACUAGGAUAUUCUCAGUUUGAAGGUCUUGAUGUGAGAUUGCUUGCCUUGAGCAUUUGUCUAUUUGCUUUGGCAGAUAUGCAAUGACCGGACAGUUGAA
Molecule: unclassified non-coding RNA, 631 nt
Filed under: Hevea brasiliensis (rubber tree)
Lineage: Eukaryota; Viridiplantae; Streptophyta; Magnoliopsida; Malpighiales; Euphorbiaceae
Source: RNAcentral